GGUGAACGCUGGCGGCGUGCCUAAUACAUGCAAGUCGAGCGAACAGACGAGGAGCUUGCUCCUCUGACGAUAGCGGCGGACGGGUGAGUAACACGUGGAUAACCUACCUAUAAGACUGGGAUAACUUCGGGAAACCGGAGCUAAUACCGGAUAACAUGUUGAACCGCAUGGUUCAACAGUGAAAGUCGGUCUUGCUGUCACUUAUAGAUGGAUCCGCGCCGCAUUAGCUAGUUGGUAAGGUAACGGCUUACCAAGGCAACGAUGCGUAGCCGACGUGAUAGGGGGAUCGGCCACACGGGAGCGGGGACACGGUCCAGACGCCUGCGGGAGGGAGCAGUAGGGAAUCUUCCGCAAUGGGCGAAAGCCUGACGGAGCAGCGCCGCGUGAGAGAAAAAGGUCUUCGGAUCGUAAAACUCUGUUAUUAGGGAAGAACAAAUGUGUAAGUAACUAUGCACGUCUUGACGGUACCUAAUCAGAAAGCCACGGCUAACUACGUG
This 497-nucleotide ribosomal RNA is filed under the name uncultured bacterium. RNAcentral's name for it is "partial 16S ribosomal RNA". It matches the Rfam family "Bacterial small subunit ribosomal RNA", at positions 28 to 507 of the family's 1533-position model. The record is from RNAcentral.